Mastomys coucha (southern multimammate mouse) is the source of this 375-nucleotide long non-coding RNA. RefSeq lists it as uncharacterized. The record is from RefSeq and is a predicted model, not a curated record. The transcript has 3 exons. Lineage: Eukaryota; Metazoa; Chordata; Mammalia; Rodentia; Muridae.
AGGUUGGUCCUUCAGAUGCUUGCUGAAUAGCUUUUGUGGACUAGGCAUUCUUGGGAGCUACUGGGAAUACAGGGUGCUUGCUAGCCCCUAGUCCGGUUUCCGGCUCACCAGUAAGAUGAAACAGGAAGAUGCAGAAAACUGGGAAGAGAUGCCUGAAGAAGCUGCUAGGUUUCUAGCUGAGUCAGAGCCCUUAGACCGAAUUGGCCUUCAUGAGAAGUGUGGUCCGUCACAGCCCAUGAGCUGUCUGAAAGGCAUCAAGUCAAUCUUAGAAAUGGUGAAGGCGAAGGGUAUUUAUAGGCCCUUUCCUUCUGUGCACUAAGGAUAAGAUUCAAUUUUAUGUGAAAAAAAAUGCCUUAAAGAUUAAAUAGGUUUAUG